Molecule: ribosomal RNA, 253 nt
Filed under: uncultured bacterium
Lineage: Bacteria
Description: partial 16S ribosomal RNA
Rfam family: Bacterial small subunit ribosomal RNA
Source: RNAcentral
UACGGGGGGGGCAAGCGUUGUUCGGAAUUACUGGGCGUAAAGGGCUCGUAGGCGGCCAACUAAGUCGGACGUGAAAUCCCCAGGCUCAACCUGGGAACUGCGUCCGAUACUGGAUGGCUUGAAUUCGGGAGAGGGAUGCAGAAUUCCAGGUGUAGCGGUGAAAUGCGUAGAUAUUGGGAAGAACACCGAUGGCGAAGGCAGCCAUCUGGACCGACACUGACGCUGAGGCGCGAAAGCGUGGGGAGCAAACAGG